Molecule: long non-coding RNA, 567 nt
Organism: Oryza sativa Japonica Group (Japanese rice)
Lineage: Eukaryota; Viridiplantae; Streptophyta; Magnoliopsida; Poales; Poaceae
Source: RefSeq, a predicted model, not a curated record
GCUCAUAUUUUUGGAAAAAUAUUGAAUUGUGUUGUUGGUAAUAUAUUGGCUGACGUUUUUUGCAGACAUUGUUGGUCUAAUUGUGUAUUUGGGUCCACUUCAACACGUUUAUAAUCGCCUCUAUAGAGAGGUCACCCUCCUGAACACGAGAUGUAGGGAUUAGCCUUUGCAGUGAGGUCAACCGGGCAACGCAUGGUUGAUAACCAAAGGAGACGUGGUGCUCCAGUUGCAAGUUUUGGAUCAUGUUGAUCCGAAGCCGAAUCAUGUGUGUCAUGUUUCCACCAAAUCAAGAGGUAUCAAUACCUAUCGGAACAUCAGGACCUAAUUCCUCAUCAAUAGGCGGCCUUUUCGGCUGCAUCCAACAAAUAAAUCUGCCAAAACCCUAGAAACAUAUGGGAGAAAAGUUCAUAGUCGCACACCAUUAAAUUGAGUCUCAGAACACUUCAGUCAGUACUAAAGAAGGAUGAACCAUUGGACCAUGAUUGCUUCAACAUGUCUAUACGUAAGUUCAUGUAUGAAAGCAUCCAGACGGUUCAGAAAACCAAUGAAGCAAUAACAAAGCAUUGC